AUAUGUAAGAACCAACCUUUAGGCGGGGGAAUACCUCAUAAGCUGUGGAGUAAAAGAACUUUUUCACUCUAAAGACGGGCUUACACCUGAUUAGCUUGAUGGUGAGGUAAUAGCUUACCAUGGCUACAAUCAGUAACUGGUCUGAGAGGAUGUACGGUCACAUUGGGACUGAGAUACGGCCCAGACGACUACGUGUUGGCAGCAGUAAUGAAUCUUCCGCAAUGGGGGAAACCCUGACGGAGCGAGUCGUCGUGAAGGAUGAAGGUUUACGGAUUGUAAACUUCUUUUGCUACAUUUAAAUUUUUAAUUUAUUAGCCACUGGCGUGUAGAGAAUAAGCAUCAGCAAAUUUCGUGCCAGCAGCCGCGGUUAUACGGGAGAUGCAAAGAUUAUCUGGAAUUAUUGGGUGUAAAGAGUCUUAAGAUGGUGGAGUAUGUCUAUGGUGAAAUGUCAAAGCUUAACUUUGAAACAGCUGUAGAAACUACUCAACUUGAGUUCGAUAGAGGUAAAGGGAAUUCUCGGUGGAGCGGUGAAAUGCAUAGAUAUCGAGAGGAACACCGAAGGCGUAGGCACUUUACUGGGUCGAAACUGACAUUGUAAGACGAAAGCUAAGGGAGCAAAAGGGAUUAGAGACCCCUGUAGUCUUAGCCGUAAAUGAUGGGUACUGUGUAUUGGUUAGAAAAUCAAGUACGUAAGCUAACGCUAAGUACCCCACCUGGGGAUUACGUCCGCAAGGAUAAAACUUAAAGAAAUAGGC
Molecule: ribosomal RNA, 755 nt
Filed under: uncultured alga
Lineage: Eukaryota
Description: bacterial SSU rRNA
Rfam family: Bacterial small subunit ribosomal RNA
Source: RNAcentral